RNAcentral lists this ribosomal RNA (253 nucleotides) under uncultured bacterium. RNAcentral's name for it is "partial 16S ribosomal RNA". It matches the Rfam family "Bacterial small subunit ribosomal RNA", at positions 524 to 776 of the family's 1533-position model. The record is from RNAcentral.
UACGUAGGGGGCAAGCGUUAUCCGGAUUUACUGGGUGUAAAGGGAGCGUAGACGGCUGUACAAGUCUGAAGUGAAAGCCCGUGGCUCAACCGCGGAACUGCUUUGGAAACUGUAAAGCUGGAGUACUGGAGAGGCAGGCGGAAUUUCUAGUGUAGCGGUGAAAUGCGUAGAUAUUAGGAGGAACACCAGUGGCGAAGGCGGCCUGCUGGACAGAAACUGACGUUGAGGCUCGAAAGCGUGGGGAGCAAACAGG